Molecule: ribosomal RNA, 253 nt
Filed under: uncultured bacterium
Lineage: Bacteria
Description: partial 16S ribosomal RNA
Rfam family: Bacterial small subunit ribosomal RNA
Source: RNAcentral
UACGGAGGGUGCAAGCGUUGUCCGGAUUCAUUGGGUUUAAAGGGUGCGCAGGCGGGACAUUAAGUCAGGGGUGAAAGACGGUUGCUCAACAAUCGCAGUGCCUUUGAUACUGGUGUUCUUGGGUAACCUUGAGGUAGGCGGAAUGGGUGGUGUAGCGGUGAAAUGCAUAGAUACCACCCAGAACUCCGAUUGCGAAGGCAGCCUACUGGAGGUCAACCGACGCUCAGGCACGAAAGCGUGGGGAGCAAACAGG